ACGGCUGAGUAACGCGUGGGUGACGUACCUGUUGGUGGGAAAUAACUGCCCGAAAGGGUGGCUAAUUCCGCAUAAGUCCUUCGGUUCAAUCUGAAGGGGAAAGCUUCGCAAGAGGCGCCGAUGGAGCGGCCCGCGUCCGAUUAGCUUGUUGGUGGGGUAACGGCCUACCAAGGCGACGAUCGGUAGCUGGUCUUAGAGGAUGAUCAGCCAGACUGGGACUGAGACACGGCCCAG
RNAcentral lists this ribosomal RNA (234 nucleotides) under uncultured bacterium. RNAcentral's name for it is "partial 16S ribosomal RNA". It matches the Rfam family "Bacterial small subunit ribosomal RNA", at positions 102 to 334 of the family's 1533-position model. The record is from RNAcentral.